AUACGUAGGGGGCGAGCGUUGUCCGGAAUGAUUGGGCGUAAAGGGCGCGUAGGCGGCGCGGUAAGUCUGGAGUGAAAGUCCUGCUUUCAAGGUGGGAAUUGCUUUGGAUACUGCCGCGCUUGAGUGCAGGAGAGGUUAUCGGAAUUCCCGGUGUAGCGGUGAAAUGCGUAGAGAUCGGGAGGAACACCAGUGGCGAAGGCGGGUAACUGGACUGCAACUGACGCUGAGGCGCGAAAGUGUGGGGAGCAAACAGGAUUAGAUACCCUGGUAGUCCACACUGUAAACGAUGAAUGCUAGGUGUAAGAGGUAUUGACCCCUUUUGUGCCGGAGUCAACACAAUAAGCAUUCCGCCUGGGGAGUACGGCCGCAAGGUUGAAACUUAAAGGAAUUGACGGGG
This 397-nucleotide ribosomal RNA is filed under the name uncultured bacterium. Its description in RNAcentral is "partial 16S ribosomal RNA". It matches the Rfam family "Bacterial small subunit ribosomal RNA", at positions 523 to 918 of the family's 1533-position model. The record is from RNAcentral.